This 536-nucleotide long non-coding RNA is filed under the name Gossypium barbadense (sea-island cotton). RNAcentral's name for it is "long non-coding RNA (GBAR_LNC023369)". Lineage: Eukaryota; Viridiplantae; Streptophyta; Magnoliopsida; Malvales; Malvaceae. The record is from RNAcentral.
UUUGGAAUCAUGUAAAUCGGUAACGUAUCCUUUGGAUCGACUGUUUUGUACUUUCCUUUCCCUAGUUCCGAUAGAGUUGGCUUAAGGGAUGGACUUGGCUUAGAAGACGAUGAAGAGCGUUUCGGAGACGGUGUGGUUGAUUUAGGUGGUGUCAGUCCUUUAGGUGAUGGAGAUGGUUUUUCGGCCGUGAAUGACAUUUUAAAUGAUGGAAGCGGACUAGGAGGAUAUAGAAUCGGCUUAAUCGGUAAUGUAUCCUCUGGAUUGAGUGUUUUGUACUUUCCUUUCCCUAGUUCUGAUAGAGUUGGCUUAAGGGAUGGACUUGGCUUAAAAGACGAUGAAGAGGGUUUCAGAGACGGUGUGGUUGGUUUAGGUGGUGUCAAUCCUUUAGGUGAUGGAGAUGGUUUCUGGGCCGUAAAUGAUGUUUCAAAUGAUGGCAGCAGACUAGGAGGAUAUAGAACUGGCUUAACCGAGGACUGAGAUGAUUUGGUUGAAGUUGUAGAUGAAUGAAUCUUAUAUAGCCACUCAUUUCCUGGUGA